CGUGUAGGCGGCCAGACAGGUCCGUUGUGAAAACUAGAGGCUUAACCUCUAGACGUCGAUGGAAACCGUCUGGCUAGAGUCCGGAAGAGGAGAAUGGAAUUCCUGGUGUAGCGGUGAAAUGCGCAGAUAUCAGGAAGAACACCCGUGGCUAAGGCGGUUCUCUAGUACGGUACUGACGCUGAGACGCGAAAGCGUGGGGAGCAAACA
Molecule: ribosomal RNA, 207 nt
Filed under: uncultured bacterium
Lineage: Bacteria
Description: partial 16S ribosomal RNA
Rfam family: Bacterial small subunit ribosomal RNA
Source: RNAcentral